GACGAACGCUGGCGGCGUGCCUAAUACAUGCAAGUAGAACGCACAGUUUAUACCGUAGCUUGCUACACCAUAAACUGUGAGUUGCGAACGGGUGAGUAACGCGUAGGUAACCUGCCUGGUAGCGGGGGAUAACUAUUGGAAACGAUAGCUAAUACCGCAUAAUAUUGAUUAUUGCAUGAUAAUUGAUUGAAAGAUGCUAUUGCAUCACUACCAGAUGGACCUGCGUUGUAUUAGCUAGUAGGUGAGGUAACGGCUCACCUAGGCGACGAUACAUAGCCGACCUGAGAGGGUGAUCGGCCACACUGGGACUGAGACCCGGCCCAGACUCCUUCGGGAGGCAGCAGUAGGGAAUCUUCGGCAAGGGACGAAAGUCUGACCGAGCAACGCCGAGUGAGUGAAGAAGGUUGUCGGAUCGGAAAGCUCUGUUGUAAGAGAAGAACGGGUGUGAGAGUGGAAAGUUCACACUGUGACGGUAUCUGACCAGAAAGGGACGGCUAACUACGUG
This 505-nucleotide ribosomal RNA is filed under the name uncultured bacterium. RNAcentral describes it as "partial 16S ribosomal RNA". It matches the Rfam family "Bacterial small subunit ribosomal RNA", at positions 28 to 507 of the family's 1533-position model. The record is from RNAcentral.